RNAcentral lists this ribosomal RNA (491 nucleotides) under uncultured bacterium. RNAcentral's name for it is "partial 16S ribosomal RNA". It matches the Rfam family "Bacterial small subunit ribosomal RNA", at positions 28 to 507 of the family's 1533-position model. The record is from RNAcentral.
GAUGAACGCUCGCUACAGGCUUAACACAUGCAAGUCGAGGGGAAACGAUGAGAGAGCUUGCUCUCUUAGUCGUCGACCGGCGCACGGGUGAGUAACGCGUAUCCAACCUGCCUCUGACCAAGGGAUAACCCGUCGAAAGUCGGACUAAUACCUUAUGCAGUCGUCGGAAGUCAUCUGAUGACGACGAAAGAUUUCAUCGGUGAGAGAUGGGGAUGCGUCUGAUUAGCUUGUUGGCGGGGUAACGGCCCACCAAGGCGACGAUCAGUAGGGGUUCUGAGAGGACGGUCCCCCACAUUGGAACUGAGACACGGUCCAAACUCCUACGGGAGGCAGCAGUGAGGAAUAUUGGUCAAUGGGCGUAAGCCUGAACCAGCCAAGUAGCGUGCAGGAUGCCGGCCCUAUGGGUUGUAAACUGCUUUUAUGAGGGGAUAACGUGAGGGACGUGUCCUUCAUUGCAGGUACCGAAUGAAUAAGGACCGGCUAAUUCCGUG